Molecule: long non-coding RNA, 714 nt
Filed under: Ananas comosus (pineapple)
Lineage: Eukaryota; Viridiplantae; Streptophyta; Magnoliopsida; Poales; Bromeliaceae
Description: long non-coding RNA (ACOM_LNC015221)
Source: RNAcentral
GCUGGAAUUGUAUAGUUUGGUUACUAUCUAUCCGUUUAUUCUUCUAUUAUGUCUGAUUUAAACCUAGCGAAAAAGUCGGCGAGGUCGGCGGCCGAACCCACUGAAAACUUUGUUGUAGUUCUCACCCCACUAUUUUUCACAGUGCCGGGACCGAGUGAGCCGGCCGACGAUCGCGGUAAAGGUAUCGCUCCAUAGACAGUGACCACCCGAGAUGGUUUUAUACAUGUGUAGUUCAUACUCUCUUUAUAUCAUCUCUUGUAUUUGAUGAUCAUAGAUGUAUAAAUGAUGUUUAAAUGUAAAAGCUUAUUUUGGAGAUCAUGUGAUGUAUAAAAAGAAGAAAUAAUGGAAAAGAAUGUAAAUGUAAAUGUGGAAUGCAUGUAAGUGAUUAAAAGCUAAUCAUUAUACUUGAAUGGAUGUUUAGUUUAGUACUUUCACUUUUGGCUACUUCUUGCCCUCGUGCAAACCAUGUAUGUUAUGUUUCCACUUGUGCAAUCUGUAUACUUGAUUUAUACUUGUGUUGAGCCUUGGGUGGACAGGGGAGGUGCUGUCCGUUCGGCGUCUGUUCGACGUGCCCGAACCGACCAAAUAGGCGGGCUCGGGGCGUGACAAAUAGACUUAAAAAUUUUGUUAAAUUAACAUUGAUUAUUUUAAAGUAAUAGUGAUUUUGUUAAAUUAUUGUAUUUUUUAAAAAAGGAAAGUCUUGAGCACUUUUUU